This 506-nucleotide ribosomal RNA is filed under the name uncultured bacterium. Its description in RNAcentral is "partial 16S ribosomal RNA". It matches the Rfam family "Bacterial small subunit ribosomal RNA", at positions 29 to 523 of the family's 1533-position model. The record is from RNAcentral.
AGUGAACGCUGGCGGUAGGCCUAACACAUGCAAGUCGAACGGCAGCACAGGAGAGCUUGCUCUCUGGGUGGCGAGUGGCGGACGGGUGAGGAAUACAUCGGAAUCUACUCUGUCGUGGGGGAUAACGUAGGGAAACUUACGCUAACACCGCAUACGACCUACGGGUGAAAGCAGGGGAUCCUCGGACCUUGCGCGAUUGAAUGAGCCGAUGUCGGAUUAGCUAGUUGGCGGGGUAAAGGCCCACCAAGGCGACGAUCCGUAGCUGGUCUGAGAGGAUGAUCAGCCACACUGGAACUGAGACACGGUCCAGACUCCUACGGGAGGCAGCAGUGGGGAAUAUUGGACAAUGGGCGCAAGCCUGAUCCAGCCAUACCGCGUGGGUGAAGAAGGCCUUCGGGUUGUAAAGCCCUUUUGUUGGGAAAGAAAUCCAGCUGGUUAAUACCCGGUUGGGAUGACGGUACCCAAAGAAUAAGCACCGGCUAACUUCGUGCCAGCAGCCGCGGUAA